GUCCAGACUCCUACGGGAGGCAGCAGUGAGGAAUAUUGGUCAAUGGGCGGAAGCCUGAACCAGCCAAGUCGCGUGAGGGAAGAAGGCCCUGCGGGUCGCAGACCUCUUUGGACGGGGAGCAAGGCCGCCGACGUGUCGGCGGAAGGAGAGUACCCGCAGAAGAAGCACCGGCUAACUCCGUGCCAGCAGCCGCGGUAAUACGGAGGGUGCAAGCGUUAAUCGGAAUUACUGGGCGUAAAGCGCACGCAGGCGGUUUGUUAAGUCAGAUGUGAAAUCCCCGGGCUCAACCUGGGAACUGCAUCUGAUACUGGCAAGCUUGAGUCUCGUAGAGGGGGGUAGAAUUCCAGGUGUAGCGGUGAAAUGCGUAGAGAUCUGGAGGAAUACCGGUGGCGAAGGCGGCCCCCUGGACGAAGACUGACGCUCAGGUGCGAAAGCGUGGGGAGCAAACAGGAUUAGAUACCCGAGUAC
This 468-nucleotide ribosomal RNA is filed under the name uncultured bacterium. Its description in RNAcentral is "partial 16S ribosomal RNA". It matches the Rfam family "Bacterial small subunit ribosomal RNA", at positions 329 to 793 of the family's 1533-position model. The record is from RNAcentral.